GAUGAACGCUGGCGGCGUGCCUAAUACAUGCAAGUCGAGCGAACAGAUAAGGAGCUUGCUCCUUUGAAGUUAGCGGCGGACGGGUGAGUAACACGUGGGUAACCUACCUAUAAGACUGGGAUAACUUCGGGAAACCGGAGCUAAUACCGGAUAACAUUUAGAACCGCAUGGUUCUAAAGUGAAAGAUGGUUUUGCUAUCACUUAUAGAUGGACCCGCGCCGUAUUAGCUAGUUGGUAAGGUAACGGCUUACCAAGGCGACGAUACGUAGCCGACCUGAGAGGGUGAUCGGCCACACUGAAACUGAGACACGGUCCAGACUCCUACGGGAGGCAGCAGUAGGGAAUCUUCCGCAAUGGGCGAAAGCCUGACGGAGCAACGCCGCGUGAGUGAUGAAGGGUUUCGGCUCGUAAAACUCUGUUAUUAGGGAAGAACAAAUGUGCAAGUAACUGUGCACAUCUUGACGGUACCUAAUCAGAAAGCCACGGCUAACUACGUGCCAGCAGCCGCCGUAA
This 513-nucleotide ribosomal RNA is filed under the name uncultured bacterium. RNAcentral's name for it is "partial 16S ribosomal RNA". It matches the Rfam family "Bacterial small subunit ribosomal RNA", at positions 28 to 523 of the family's 1533-position model. The record is from RNAcentral.